RNAcentral lists this long non-coding RNA (252 nucleotides) under Nicotiana benthamiana. Its description in RNAcentral is "long non-coding RNA (NBEN_LNC036546)". Lineage: Eukaryota; Viridiplantae; Streptophyta; Magnoliopsida; Solanales; Solanaceae. The record is from RNAcentral.
GAUUAUCAUUUUGUGUAAUAACACAUUUUGUAUGUUCAGAUGAAGGCUGUUUUGCUUGCUAUGAUUAUUUGGGCCAUGGGAGUUUGUAACUGUUCCACUAAUUCUGAGAUCCUACCAAAUGGUACAUAUUCAUUCUUGGUUGAUCAAGAUGCAGAUGAACUGCAUGAUCCUAGGGCUGUUGGAAUUAAUCUUGAAGUUGAGUAACCAUGCAAUCUGUUGUAUCUUUAAAUUCAUUAUUUUAAUAUUCUCUUU